GAUGAACGCUGGCGGCGUGCCUAAUACAUGCAAGUCGAGCGAACAGACGAGGAGCUUGCUCCUCUGACGUUAGCGGCGGACGGGUGAGUAACACGUGGAUAACCUACCUAUAAGACUGGGAUAACUUCGGGAAACCGGAGCUAAUACCGGAUAAUAUAUUGAACCGCAUGGUUCAAUAGUGAAAGACGGUUUUGCUGUCACUUAUAGAUGGAUCCGCGCCGCAUUAGCCAGUUGGUAAGGUAACGGCUUACCAAGGCGACGAUGCGUAGCCGACCUGAGAGGGUGAUCGGCCACACUGGAACUGAGACACGGUCCAGACUCCUACGGGAGGCAGCAGUAGGGAAUCUUCCGCAAUGGGCGAAAGCCUGACGGAGCAACGCCGCGUGAGUGAUGAAGGUCUUCGGAUCGUAAAACUCUGUUAUUAGGGAAGAACAAAAGUGUAAGUAACUAUGCACGUCUUGACGGUACCUAAUCAGAAAGCCACGGCUAACUACGUG
RNAcentral lists this ribosomal RNA (497 nucleotides) under uncultured bacterium. RNAcentral's name for it is "partial 16S ribosomal RNA". It matches the Rfam family "Bacterial small subunit ribosomal RNA", at positions 28 to 507 of the family's 1533-position model. The record is from RNAcentral.